This 371-nucleotide ribosomal RNA is filed under the name uncultured bacterium. RNAcentral describes it as "bacterial SSU rRNA". It matches the Rfam family "Bacterial small subunit ribosomal RNA", at positions 527 to 898 of the family's 1533-position model. The record is from RNAcentral.
GAACCGUGCGAACGUUGUUCGGAAUCACUGGGCUUAAAGGGCGCGUAGGCGGUUUGCCAAGUCGGGGUUGAAAUCUUUCGGCUCAACCGGAAAAGUGGCUUCGAUACUGGCAAGCUGGAGGGAGGUAGGGGCGGAUGGAACUUCCGGUGGAGCGGUGAAAUGUGUUGAUAUCGGAAGGAACGCCGGUGGCGAAAGCGAUCCGCUGGACCUCUUCUGACGCUGAGGCGCGAAAGCCAGGGGAGCAAACGGGAUUAGAUACCCCGGUAGUCCUGGCCCUAAACGAUGGGUACUGAGUAGUGGACUUGCAUGGGUUCACUGCUGAAGCAAAAGUGGUAAGUACCCCGCCUGGGGAGUAUGGUCGCAAGGCUGAA